This is a long non-coding RNA of Scleropages formosus (Asian bonytongue), 1892 nucleotides long. RefSeq lists it as uncharacterized. NCBI's taxonomy places the organism in Eukaryota, Metazoa, Chordata, Actinopteri, Osteoglossiformes, Osteoglossidae. The record is from RefSeq and is a predicted model, not a curated record. The transcript has 3 exons.
AAGUCUUUAAAGACAAUUUGCAGCUGCUAAUAACAUUGUAGCUGAGUGUUAACUUGAUGUCCCUGUUCACAAAGAUACAUCUCGUCCAUCAUGGAAGUUUCUCAUCAUCUUCCUCUACUAUGUUCAUAUUAUAUUUUAGCACAUGAAAGAGAGUGGAUACUAUAUUUACUGCAUUGCUGAAGCAUUUACAAAAAAGUGAAAUGGCAUCUGGGUUUGAAAUUCUUGCAAGCUACUGCUGUCUAUACAGUUGUGCACAAAUAUCUUCUUUUACUGGUAUACAUAUUUCAGUCUUUGCUAGAGGAGUAGAAGAGAGACGUCCCUUACUUGUUUCAAGAGCCCUUGGAUGGUAACUGCGUUAUCUUGUCUGCAGGAACGGUUGUCAUCUGGAGGGAAGGUUGAAGUAGUUAAAGCAUUACUCACAAUGUGGUGUACUUGUACUCCUGUGUGCUCAUGUCCCAGUUUUUUAAGGCUGAUAUUUCUGUUAUUUCUGCUGUCACCGUUUCCAAACAGAAGACCCCUGCACAGCGGCCUUUGCUUUCAUUCGUGUUUGUGUGAAACUUCUUGUUAAACCACUGCAGAUCCGAAGGUUUGCUGAAGGUGGGAACUCGCUUCAAAGGAAACGCGCGUGAGCCACAAGCAUGAUGGGUACUUCCAAAACAGGCAACCUGCCAUUGUCCCCUGGUUUUAUUUAUUUAUUUAUUUUUAUUUUUUUUUUUUUUUUUGUCUUGCCAAGAGCCAGCCCACCACAAGUGAAGUCCCAUGUAAGUUCAAACCACUGACAUGAAUGAGUAAUAAAAUGUCGAUGCAAACUGGAAACUUUUGAGCCGGGCUUGUAUUUUCCGGGCUACCUUGCUAAAGUGUAUUUUUAAUAGGCUUGUUUAGGUAAUGUUUAACAUUUUCUGAUAUUCAUGUGGAGAAACCGUUCAUCAUAAAUGAGCACGCAUGCAAAAAGAGUGUGAAGUAGUUCAGAGCUCUGUGGCUUUGAGUGUUAUGAAAACAGAUUGGACUGGACUCAAUUAAAUGUUCUCAGUCGUCAGAGUGUGUGGCACAUUGGUGCGUUGAGCUGUGAAUCAUUUUUAGUAGCUGGUGGUGACUUCUGGAGUGUGAAAUGACCGCAAAGCCUCCGGUCUCCGAAGGACAGAGAAAAUCACUGUGUUUAAACGCGUCAAUUGGACGCUCGUCAUUUGGGCUAGGGGAUGAGGGUGCGGCGCUCGUUCCAGAAUCAGGUUGUGAGCUGAGCUUUUGUGUGCAUCUUGCCUGCCUCAGCUAAAUGGAGCCUUGAGCACUUGAGUUUUAUUAAAAUGCUGUCCGCUGUGGCUGUGUGUAUUAAUACUGGGGUUGGGGGGGGCACAGUAAUAGUGAGGUGUCUGUCCAGGUCUCAGACGGGUUGUUAAGGACAACAUACCGGAUGAUGCCUCAUGACGCCUCCGGUUCUGGUCAGCAGCAAUGCAGCGCUCCCAUUGCGUCUGAUCUCCCAGAUGCGAGUGAUAAGAGCACAGAUGGCUUGAUAACUUUCGCAGUGUUUUCCUCAGUGACUCUUCAUAAAAAGUGAGAAAUCGCCGCAAUUGUAGAGCUGCAUAUUUUUCUGAAGAACUUCAGCUGAUGGAUAGCGUGGCGAAUCCAACCAAGAAACAAUCCACACUGGAGAAUACCAUCCUUUGUCUCUCUCUCCUAUGAUGAGGAAUUUUCUGCUAUGUGAACCAUUUCAUUGUAAACAUGCCCAUAUAAUGCAUUGUUUGGUAAAUAAAAGACAACAAUAGCUGCUUUGUCCUUCUCAUAUGAAGAUGUAAAUCCUCCUAAAUCAAAUAUGAUUAUUUAAGGAAAAAUAUAAUCCAUAUAAAAGUUGCAGUGUUAUGCAAUUUCUGCUAGACACAAUCCUUUUUCUAGAGAUC